AUGUGCGUGGCCAGCACAAAGCGAAUUAUUCUUGCGCCUUCUACUAAAGUUCAUCGUGUGCCCGCCACAUUAAGCAGUCUAUGCUAAUUUUUAAAUGCAGGACAGUUUUCUAUCAU
Molecule: small nuclear RNA, 116 nt
Organism: Dendrobium catenatum
Lineage: Eukaryota; Viridiplantae; Streptophyta; Magnoliopsida; Asparagales; Orchidaceae
Product: U5 spliceosomal RNA
Exons: 1
Source: RefSeq, a predicted model, not a curated record